Long non-coding RNA from Strigops habroptila (Kakapo), 1632 nucleotides. The record is from Ensembl. Lineage: Eukaryota; Metazoa; Chordata; Aves; Psittaciformes; Psittacidae.
UAAAAAUCCCAAAGCCUUUAUUUGUAAAUUGAAUACAUUACAGCAUUUACGGUUCAGAAUAACAGACACAAUAAGGCUGUGAUAACUGACUUAACUUUGUUGCCAGAAUUUUAAUUCAGUUUUACCUGAAGGUCUCUUAAAUCUCUCUUUUAGAAAGAUUUAUCUCAUAUUUGAAGGGAAUAGUAAAAAACUGGACAGAAAUGAGACUAAAACAUUUCUAACUUCCACAUUUGGUCAAGGUGCAAAGUGGCAAAGCUGCAGAAGUAGGUACAGAGCAAACAACAAAACUAUAGUAGAUCAUUAGAUACUACUUUAACUUUAGUAUAGUCUGUUGCUUGUAGUGGUGGCUAGCAUAGCUGUACAUACCUGAUAAUCCCCAUCCUUCAGAAAGGUUAGCAUGCCAAAUACACUCUGAAAUCUAGGAAAACCUUUAUUCUAUAAGCAGCAGCAGAAUGUACCAUUAACAUCAGCUGUAUACAAGAUCAUCCUAAAAUGAAACCUACUUGAUUUUAGACUUACAUUUUGAAAUUUCUCUUGUCUGCAAUAGCAUCAGUUACAAUUGCUAUAUGGAGAAUUCUCUUCUGGAUUUAAGUAAUCACUUGACUCGAGGAGGAACAAGAGGUCUAAACUGAGCUAAGAAAACAUUCAGCAGCAAGAUCAAGUAUUAAAAUUAACCAAAACCCAGACUCAAUUAGCAGUUAUAAUACAGAAUGUACCCUCACCCCAAACUACUGCAACACCAGAGACAAGCUACCUCCUUUACUCUUGUAUUUCUUGCUCAUUUACUUCGCUUUUCCGCUUGGCAGAACACCACAGCAAGAGCAUGACAUAGUGCAAGGUGCUCCAGAAACAAGACACUGUAGGUACCCUAUUAUUCCAGAUAUCUUAAGAGUUCACUUGACACAUAUCAAAGAUUUUAGAAUAUGCCUCCAACAGCAGCUGCCAUUCUUUUACACUUCCUAGGGAAUUGUUUAAAGCUGGAUUUACACCUACAUGCCAUCUUUCGGCAAAAUAAGGUGAAGAAUGUGCUCAACUGUGAACUAACAGAGUGCUAGAAACCAAAAAACCUACUGUGACAGAAUGUUACCAGUUCUAAGUCUUCUGGUGAAGGUAUGCAGAUUACCUAAAAGAAAACACGUUCCCAUUGGCACAACCAGUGUAAGACUACAAGAAAAGAAAACAAAUGAACCAACCAGCAGCUGGUUGGCUUGUCCUUCACAGGUCAGGCACAGGCUGGCCAUUCCUGCAUGUGACAGGAUACCUGAAGCUAACCCAGUACAGCACUCCUGAAUAGAGAGACUUCUUUUCUAGAGGAUGGGUUUGUGACUGCAGAAGGGGCUAAAAAUUAGGGGAGAAAAUCCUAAUAGGAACAAUGAUAUGAGUUAUAGAAUAGAAAGGGAGAAAAGAGAAGACGUUGAACUUUUGUACCGCUGAACAAGAAACACUGUACUAAGAACGUGCACUGAGCAAUGUGAUUUUCUUCUAGACUCUCCUCCACUAUCAUCAGGACUUUACAAUGAAGUCCUGAAUUUGUAAAUUCGCAAACUUUACAAAAGUAACACAAGAGGAAAAGUUGAAGUGUUGAGAACUUACACUACUUUGGGAAGCAAAUCCCCUGGAUGUCAUCCGGCU